GAAAUAUAAGUGUCAAUAGAAGUCAGUGAUUAAGAACAUAGGCAUUGGAAUCAGUCAGGUUCAAUUCCAGCCCUGCAAAUUCCAGCUCUGUUUGCCAAUAGACGAUUCACUCAACUCAUCUCAGCCUAUCUGCUGAUCUUUAAAAUGGAGCAAAAAAGCAUUCGCUGCAGUGAGUUGCCAUGGGAGUUAGAUAAAAUGAGACUGGUGAUGCAUUUAUUGUGAUGAUGAGAGCAUGGUGAGAGAGGCAGGCAAAGAUCAGAUGAAGUGGCAAUGUUAGACAGGGAGGCAUGAGUCUGCUUGAUGCAAAGUAGGUGCUAUCAGUAUUCCCCACUGCAGGAAGAAAAGGCAGAGAACAAGACUAGAAACAGAUGUUUGUCUUACCUGUAAACAGAAUCCUUCACCUGAAAUUAAAUACCAGCAUCCGGACAACAGAAUGUCAUUCAUCACUAAAAAUAAAUAAGCUAUCAAGUUACAAAAACAUACAGAAGAACCCCAAAUGUGUAUUACAAUGUGAAAGAAUCCAACCUGAGAAGACUAAUGUUUUGGGGGACUCCAACUAUAGGAUGUUACAGAAAGGGCAAAAUUGUGAAGGCAGGACAAAGGGCAGUGGCUUCCAGGAAAGAGGGAAGCAGAAUAGUGAAGGUUUUAGGGCAAUAAAAUAGUAGGACGUAGUAUGAUACUACAACAGUGGAUAUGGGUCAUUUUACACUUGCCCAGACCCACAGAACGUGCAACAUCAAGCAUGAAGCCACAACAUAAACUAUGGCCUUAGAUGAUAAUGAUGUAUCAGUAUAGGUUCAACCAUCGUACCCUAUGUACCACUCUGGUGGGGGAUGUUGCCAGGAGGAGGGCUGCUGGGGGUGGGGGCAGGGAACACAUAAGAACUCUGCAUUCUCUGCUCAGUUUUGCUAUGAAUCUAAAACUGCUCUUAGGAUAUAAAGUUUAUUAAUUUUUAAAAAUUGCAUACCCUGAUUAAAAAGUCCUGUCCAGCCUGCUUAUACAGGAUACGUUUUCUAUUUUAUUGGGGCACCCCCUAGUCUUUCCUAUGCAACAGAGGAGUCUUAGAAAACAUCUCUUAACAGUCCUAUUUUUUGACUGCAAUAAUCUAUCUCCUGCCUGGUCCCAGGCAGUCUACAUAUAAGAGCUAAGGCUGAACUAAGAAUGGUUCAGACACACCUUGCCUGAUUUGCCCUCCUUUACCGGAGGAUGCUGGGCUUCCAACGAGAAUAAACAAUGGGAUUCCAUUUUAAUCA
Molecule: long non-coding RNA, 1253 nt
Filed under: Vulpes vulpes (red fox)
Lineage: Eukaryota; Metazoa; Chordata; Mammalia; Carnivora; Canidae
Description: lncRNA (ENSVVUG00000016823.1)
Source: RNAcentral